CAAUAGCGUAUAUUAAAGUUGUUGCAGUUAAAAAGCUCGUAGUUGGAUUUGUGGCGUACGGUGUGUCCCGGGCACUUGUUGUCUGAGUAACCUGCUGUUGCCAUCCUUGGGUGGAACCUGUGUGGCAUUAGGUUGUCGUGCAGGGGAUGCCCAUCAUUUACUGUGAAAAAAUUAGAGUGUUCAAAGCAGGCUUAUGCCGUUGAAUAUAUUAGCAUGGAAUAAUGAGAUAGGACUUUUUUGCUAUUUUGUUGGUUUGCGCAAGAAGGUAAUGAUUAAUAGGGACAGUUGGGGGUAUUCGUAUUCCAUUGUCAGAGGUGAAAUUCUUGGAUUUUUGGAAGACGAACUACUGCGAAAGCAUUUACCAAGGAUGUUUUCAUUAA
RNAcentral lists this ribosomal RNA (380 nucleotides) under uncultured eukaryote. RNAcentral describes it as "partial 18S ribosomal RNA". It matches the Rfam family "Eukaryotic small subunit ribosomal RNA", at positions 592 to 976 of the family's 1831-position model. The record is from RNAcentral.